AGAACGAACGCUGGCGGCGUGGAUAAGACAUGCAAGUCGAGCGAGAUUUUUUCUUGUAGCAAUACAGGGAAAAGUCUAGCGGCGAACGGGUGCUUAACACGUGGGAAAUUACCAAGAAGUGGGGGAUAGCUCGGCGAAAGCCGAAUUAAUACCGCAUAUGAUCGCAAGAUCAAAGCCGGGGACCGCAAGGCCUGGCGCUUUUUGAGAUGCCCGCGGCCCAUCAGCUAGUUGGCGAGGUAAAAGCUCACCAAGGCUAUGACGGGUAGCUGGUCUGAGAGGACGACCAGCCACACUGGAACUGAGACACGGUCCAGACACCUACGGGUGGCAGCAGUCGAGAAUUUUUCACAAU
This 352-nucleotide ribosomal RNA is filed under the name uncultured bacterium. Its description in RNAcentral is "SSU rRNA". It matches the Rfam family "Bacterial small subunit ribosomal RNA", at positions 26 to 372 of the family's 1533-position model. The record is from RNAcentral.